UGGGUUACACACGUGCUACAAUGGUUGGUACAACGAGUUGCGAGUCGGUGACGGCGAGCUAAUCUCUUAAAGCCAAUCUCAGUUCGGAUUGUAGGCUGCAACUCGCCUACAUGAAGUCGGAAUCGCUAGUAAUCGCGGAUCAGCACGCCGCGGUGAAUACGUUCCCGGGCCUU
This 173-nucleotide ribosomal RNA is filed under the name uncultured Streptococcus sp. RNAcentral's name for it is "partial 16S ribosomal RNA". It matches the Rfam family "Bacterial small subunit ribosomal RNA", at positions 1210 to 1382 of the family's 1533-position model. Lineage: Bacteria; Bacillati; Bacillota; Bacilli; Lactobacillales; Streptococcaceae. The record is from RNAcentral.